GCCCUUAGAGUUUGAUCCUGGCUCAGGACGAACGCUGGCGGCGUGCCUAACACAUGCAAGUCGAGCGGGGAGAGAUUUUCGGAUUUCUCUUUAGCGGCGGACGGGUGAGUAACACGUGGGUAACCUGCCUCAAAGUGGGGGAUAGCCUUCCGAAAGGAAGAUUAAUACCGCAUAAUAUCAUAGCGCUGCAUGGCGCUGUGAUUAAAGGAGCAAUCCGCUUUGAGAUGGACCCGCGGCGCAUUAGCUAGUUGGUGAGGUAACGGCCCACCAAGGCGACGAUGCGUAGCCGACCUGAGAGGGUGAUCGGCCACAUUGGAACUGAGACACGGUCCAGACUCCUACGGGAGGCAGCAGUGGGGAAUAUUGCACAAUGGGGGAAACCCUGAUGCAGCAACGCCGCGUGAGUGAUGAAGGCCUUCGGGUCGUAAAGCUCUUUGAUCAGGGACGAUAAUGACGGUACCUGAAAAACAAGCCACGGCUAACGACUUG
Molecule: ribosomal RNA, 489 nt
Filed under: uncultured bacterium
Lineage: Bacteria
Description: bacterial SSU rRNA
Rfam family: Bacterial small subunit ribosomal RNA
Source: RNAcentral